ACACCUUCCUCCUCCUCCUCCUCCUCCUCCAGGAUGGCAGACAAGGACGAGGAGGAGAAGCGCAAGCAGUUCAAGGAGGACUUCUUCCCCAACGUUCUCGAGCCUGCGUUGACCCGGCUGGAGAAGAGGCUGACGGAGAAGCAGUGGUUCGUCGGAGACAAGCUGACCUGGGCCGACUUCAUCAUCAGCCUCGGCUUCGGACACGUCAAGGAGAGAAAGCCGGAGGUCUUCGAGAAGUUCCCCGCCGUCGCCGGACACAUCGAGAAGGUCCGAGAACUUCCUAAGAUUAAGGAGUGGAUCAAGAGGAGACCCGUGACCCCAUACUAAGACAUGUAGAUACGUAGGAUAUAGAAAUAGGAUUUAUAUAUAUAUUAAGGAGAGGUAAUGUGUUUACGGGAAGAUCGGGAUAGGAUAGAGAGAGAGAGAGAGAGA
Molecule: non-coding RNA, 432 nt
Organism: Penaeus vannamei (Pacific white shrimp)
Lineage: Eukaryota; Metazoa; Arthropoda; Malacostraca; Decapoda; Penaeidae
Source: RefSeq, a predicted model, not a curated record